RNAcentral lists this ribosomal RNA (490 nucleotides) under uncultured bacterium. RNAcentral describes it as "partial 16S ribosomal RNA". It matches the Rfam family "Bacterial small subunit ribosomal RNA", at positions 30 to 507 of the family's 1533-position model. The record is from RNAcentral.
AUUGAACGCUGGCGGCAGGCCUAACACAUGCAAGUCGAACGGUAACAGGAAGAAGCUUGCUUCUUUGCUGACGAGUGGCGGACGGGUGAGUAAUGUCUGGGAAACUGCCUGAUGGAGGGGGAUAACUACUGGAAACGGUAGCUAAUACCGCAUAACGUCGCAAGACCAAAAAGGGGGACCUUCGGGCCUCUUGCCAUCGGAUGUGCCCAGAUGGGAUUAGCUAGUAGGUGGGGUAACGGCUCACCUAGGCGACGAUCCCUAGCUGGUCUGGGAGGAUGACCAGCCACACUGGAACUGAGACACGGUCCAGACUCCUACGGGAGGCAGCAGUGGGGAAUAUUGCACAAUGGGCGCAGGCCUGAUGCAGCCAUGCCGCGUGUAUGAAGAAGGCCUUCGGGUUGUAAAGUACUUUCAGCGGGGAGGAAGGGAGUAAAGUUAAUACCUUUGCUCAUUGACGUUACCCGCAGAAGAAGCACCGGCUAACUCCGUG